RNAcentral lists this ribosomal RNA (460 nucleotides) under uncultured bacterium. RNAcentral describes it as "partial 16S ribosomal RNA". It matches the Rfam family "Bacterial small subunit ribosomal RNA", at positions 338 to 795 of the family's 1533-position model. The record is from RNAcentral.
CCUACGGGAGGCAGCAGUGAGGAAUAUUGGUCAAUGGACGAGAGUCUGAACCAGCCAAGUAGCGUGAAGGAUGACUGCCCUAUGGGUUGUAAACUUCUUUUAUAUGGGAAUAAAAUGUUCCACGUGUGGGAUUUUGUAUGUACCAUAUGAAUAAGGGUCGGCUAACUACGUGCCAGCAGCCGCGGUAAUACGGAGGAUCCGAGCGUUAUCCGGAUUUAUUGGGUUUAAAGGGAGCGUAGGUGGAUUGUUAAGUCAGUUGUGAAAGUUUGCGGCUCAACCGUAAAAUUGCAGUUGAAACUGGCAGUCUUGAGUACAGUAGAGGUGGGCGGAAUUCGUGGUGUAGCGGUGAAAUGCUUAGAUAUCACGAAGAACUCCGAUGGCGAAGGCAGUUCACUGGACUGCAACUGACACUGAGGCUCGAAAGUGUGGGUAUCAAACAGGAUUAGAUACCCUAGUAGUC